Molecule: long non-coding RNA, 1330 nt
Filed under: Salmo salar (Atlantic salmon)
Lineage: Eukaryota; Metazoa; Chordata; Actinopteri; Salmoniformes; Salmonidae
Description: lncRNA (ENSSSAG00000120082.1)
Source: RNAcentral
UGACACAGUGUAGAUGUUGUGGUGGUGGGGGAAGGAAAGUUCCAUCUGGAUGACACAGUGUAGAUGUUGUGGUGGUGGGGGAAGGAAAGUUCCAUCUGGAUUACAUAGUGUAGAUGUUGUGGUGGUGGGGGAAGGAAAGUUCCACCUGGAUGACACAGUGUAGAUGUUGUGGUGGUGGUGGAAGGAAAGUUCCAUCUGGAUGACACAGUGUAGAUGUUGUGGUGGUGGGGGAAGGAAAGUUCCAUCUGGAUGACACAGUGUAGAUGUUGUGGUGGUGGGGGAAGGAAAGUUCCAUCUGGAUGACACAGUGUAGAUGUUGUGGUGGUGGGAAGGAAAGGUCCAUCUGGAUGACACAGUGUAGAUGUUGUGGUGGUGGGGGAAGGAAAGUUCCAUCUGGAUGACACAGUGUAGAUGUUGUGGUGGUGGGAAGGAAAGGUCCAUCUGGAUUACACAGUGUAGAUGUUGUGGUGGUGGGGGAAGGAAAGUUCCAUCUGGAUGACACAGUGUAGAUGUUGUGGUGGUGGGGGAAGGAAAGGUCCAUCUGGAUGACACAGUGUAGAUGUUGUGGUGGUGGGGGAAGGAAAGCUCCAUCUGGAUGACACAGUGUAGAUGUUGUGGUGGUGGGGGAAGGAAAGUUCCAUCUGGAUGACACAGUGUAGAUGUUGUUGUGGUGGUGGGAAGGAAAGGUCCAUCUGGAUUACAUAGUGUAGAUGUUGUGGUGGUGGGGGAAGGAAAGUUCCACCUGGAUGACACAGUGUAGAUGUUGUGGUGGUGGUGGAAGGAAAGUUCCAUCUGGAUGACACAGUGUAGAUGUUGUGGUGGUGGGGGAAGGAAAGUUCCAUCUGGAUGACACAGUGUAGAUGUUGUGGUGGUGGGAAGGAAAGUUCCAUCUGGAUGACACAGUGUAGAUGUUGUGGUGGUGGGGGAAGGAAAGGUCCAUCUGGAUGACACAGUGUAGAUGUUGUGGUGGUGGGGGAAGGAAAGUUCCACCUGGAUGACACAGUGUAGAUGUUGUGGUGGUGGGGGAAGGAAAGUUCCAUCUGGAUGACACAGUGUAGAUGUUGUGGUGGUGGGGGAAGGAAAGUUCCAUCUGGAUGACACAGUGUAGAUGUUGUGGUGGUGGGAAGGAAAGUUCCAUCUGGAUGACACAGUGUAGAUGUUGUGGUGGUGGGGGAAGGAAAGGUCCAUCUGGAUGACACAGUGUAGAUGUUGUGGUGGUGGGAAGGAAAGUUCCAUCUGGAUGACACAGUGUAGAUGUUGUGGUGGUGGGGGAAGGAAAGGUCCAUCUGGAUGACACAGUGUAGAUGUUGUGGUGGUGGGGGAAGGAAAG